GGGCUGUUAGCUCAGUUGGUUAGAGCGCUUCCUUGACAUGGAAGAGGCCACAAGUUCGAGUCUUGUACAGCCCACCA
Molecule: transfer RNA, 77 nt
Filed under: Omnitrophica bacterium RIFCSPHIGHO2_02_FULL_49_9
Lineage: Bacteria; Pseudomonadati; Candidatus Omnitrophota
Also listed under: 1 other name
Description: tRNA-Val
Rfam family: tRNA
About the family: Transfer RNA (tRNA) molecules are approximately 80 nucleotides in length.
Source: RNAcentral